UCUUAGGCGAGUGUCCCGCGGGGCCCGUAGCGUUUACUUGGAAACAAUGAGCGUGUUCAAAGCAGGCCCGAGCCGCCUGGAUACCGCAGCUAGGA
This is a microRNA precursor of Vicugna pacos (alpaca), 95 nucleotides long. NCBI's taxonomy places the organism in Eukaryota, Metazoa, Chordata, Mammalia, Artiodactyla, Camelidae. The record is from Ensembl.